RNAcentral lists this ribosomal RNA (21 nucleotides) under Platymiscium dimorphandrum. RNAcentral describes it as "partial 28S ribosomal RNA". The record is from RNAcentral. RNAcentral also lists the same sequence under 7 other names. Lineage: Eukaryota; Viridiplantae; Streptophyta; Magnoliopsida; Fabales; Fabaceae.
GCGACCCUAGGUCAGGCGGGG